UGCUUUAAGUUUUCCAGGUAUUUAAUUUAACUAUCUGCACUCCUAUCAGACAAAAAAUCUCACCAGUUUAAAAAGUGGAAAUAAUGUGCUUAAUAAGCCCACGCCCCAAGUUUGAAUUUGCCAAGAGGAUUUUGUUCUAUAUUUCCUUGGUGUUAAGAAGGUCAUCAGGGGGCCAUUGGGCCUGGGUUGUUAUAUUUAGUUUCUUAGGUAAUGCAUUUAUUAACUAUAGGAGUGUGGUUUUCUGUUUAUGGGGAAAAAAUUGUGGGUCAUGUUUUUGUUUUGGCCAUAUUUUUAUGGUAUUUAUUAUGUAUGUCAUCAGUUUUCCGGUGGACAUUUUCUCCUUUAAUAAACUUUAUAGUUACCAAGUUGAGUUGAAAAUAAUUCUUUUCAGGCAAAUUUGUGGUGCCGUCAGAACAUGGCAUUACCAUUUUGAAAAAUUUUUCUGAACUUAUGAUUGAAUCCUCAAACAUUUUUGUUUUUUAAGUGAAGCAUUGCUUCAAUCCUACUUAAGAAAUUUUCUGUAAAUUUCAAACUUCUUGAUGUUACUGUAACUACCAAACUUUCUAUACCUGUCAUCCUUAUUACCUUUUCCAAAUAUAGAGGUGCUGUUGUUUCCAUAUAUAUACAUGAGUUUCUAGUUCUUUAAGUAACUUAUUGUUUCGCUUCAAAGUUUUAAACAAUGUCUUGAUGUAUGCAAAUAUAGAGAAUGCAAAGUCUGUGUGCAAUAUUAAAGUGCGACUUUUGUUCAUCUAUAUAACUGUUUGAGCAAUACGGUAAUGCAGGAGCACCUCAGGCUCUCCUACAGAGCUGCCUGACUUUUGGGGCAUUCUCGUUUAUUAUUGAAGGGCUUAACAAGCAGCAACCAGCACUGGCUCAUUCAUUUUCUAUGAGACACAAAUGCAGCUACCGUGGUGCAUCUCAUCCCUUGGCUCUUUUGAGUGACUACCAUAAUGCGCAUCACCCCUUGGCUCUUCCUCUUUCUGUCCCUCUUCCAAAUGAACUUAAAGUGGCCUUCUCUUUUUUCUGCAAGUCCUUGAAGAAACCCAGUAUCAAUUCUCCUACUGCUUCCUGAUAAAAGAUUGGAAGCAUGAUUAAUCAUGUUUGGUUUAACAUUUUGUAGAUUGUUGGUGUGGUGACAUUUUACCAUUUUGUAGAUUUGUAAUUCAGAUUUCAAAACUUACCGGAGCUUG
This 1190-nucleotide unclassified non-coding RNA is filed under the name Hevea brasiliensis (rubber tree). Lineage: Eukaryota; Viridiplantae; Streptophyta; Magnoliopsida; Malpighiales; Euphorbiaceae. The record is from RNAcentral.